Molecule: ribosomal RNA, 255 nt
Filed under: uncultured bacterium
Lineage: Bacteria
Description: partial 16S ribosomal RNA
Rfam family: Bacterial small subunit ribosomal RNA
Source: RNAcentral
UACGAAGGGGGGCUAGCGUUGCUCGGAAUCACUGGGCGUAAAGCGCACGUAGGCGGAUCUUUUAAGUCAGGGGUGAAAUCCCAAGGCUCAACCUUGGAACUGCCUUUGAUACUGGGGAUCUCGAGUCCGGAAGAGGUUGGUGGAACUGCGAGUGUAGAGGUGAAAUUCGUAGAUAUUCGCAAGAACACCAGUGGCGAAGGCGGCCAACUGGUCCGGUACUGACGCUGAGGUGCGAAAGCGUGGGGAGCGAACAGG